UCCAGACUCCUACGGGAGGCAGCAGUGGGGAAUAUUGGGCAAUGGGCGCAAGCCUGACCCAGCAACGCCGCGUGAAGGAAGAAGGCUUUCGGGUUGUAAACUUCUUUUAAGGGGGAAGAGCAGAAGACGGUACCCCUUGAGUAAGCCACGGCUAACUACGUGCCAGCAGCCGCGGUAAUACGUAGGUGGCAAGCGUUGUCCGGAUUUACUGGGUGUAAAGGGCGUGCAGCCGGGCCGACAAGUCAGAUGUGAAAUCCGCGGGCUUAACCCGCGAACUGCAUUUGAAACUAUUGGUCUUGAGUACCGGAGAGGUCAUCGGAAUUCCUUGUGUAGCGGUGAAAUGCGUAGAUAUAAGGAAGAACACCAGUGGCGAAGGCGGAUGACUGGACGGCAACUGACGGUGAGGCGCGAAAGCGCGGGGAGCAAACAGGAUUAGAUACCCGGGUAC
This 448-nucleotide ribosomal RNA is filed under the name uncultured bacterium. Its description in RNAcentral is "partial 16S ribosomal RNA". It matches the Rfam family "Bacterial small subunit ribosomal RNA", at positions 330 to 793 of the family's 1533-position model. The record is from RNAcentral.